GCAAUGAUUCUUAGUGGCGAACGGGUGAGUAACGCGUAGACAACCUGCCUUCUAGAUGGGGACAACACUGCGAAAGUGGUGCUAAUACCGAAUGUUGUAUUAAGCCUGCAUGGGCUUGAUACUAAAGGUGGCCUCUAUUUAUAAGCUAUCACUAGAAGAUGGGUCUGCGUCUGAUUAGCUAGUUGGUGAGGUAAUGGCUCACCAAGGCGAUGAUCAGUAGCCGGUCUGAGAGGAUGAACGGCCACACUGGGACUGAGACACGGCCCAGACUCCUACGGGAGGCAGCAGUGGGGAAUCUUCCGCAAUGGACGAAAGUCUGACGGAGCAACGCCGCGUGAGUGAAGAAGGUUUUCGGAUCGUAAAGCUCUGUCUUUGAGGACGAAUGUGUCUAAUGUGAAUAAUGUUAGAUAAUGACGGUACUCGAGGAGGAAGCCACGGCUAACUACGUGCCAGCAGCCGCGGUAAUACGUAGGUGGC
RNAcentral lists this ribosomal RNA (477 nucleotides) under uncultured Bacillota bacterium. RNAcentral describes it as "bacterial SSU rRNA". It matches the Rfam family "Bacterial small subunit ribosomal RNA", at positions 82 to 535 of the family's 1533-position model. The record is from RNAcentral. Lineage: Bacteria; Bacillati; Bacillota.